RNAcentral lists this ribosomal RNA (254 nucleotides) under uncultured bacterium. RNAcentral describes it as "partial 16S ribosomal RNA". It matches the Rfam family "Bacterial small subunit ribosomal RNA", at positions 524 to 776 of the family's 1533-position model. The record is from RNAcentral.
UACGGGGGGGGCAAGCGUUGUUCGGAAUUACUGGGCGUAAAGGGCUCGUAGGCGGCCAACUAAGUCAGACGUGAAAUCCCUCGGCUUAACCGGGGAACUGCGUCUGAUACUGGAUGGCUUGAGUUUGGGAGAGGGAUGCGGAAUUCCAGGUGUAGCGGUGAAAUGCGUAGAUAUCGAGAGGAACACCUGCGGCGAAGGCGGGUUGCUGGGCUGACACUGACGCUGAUUGUGCGAAAGCUAGGGGAGCGAACGGG